AGCAGUAGCCGCGGUAAUACGAAGGGGGCUAGCGUUGCUCGGAAUUACUGGGCGUAAAGGGCGCGUAGGCGGACAGUUCAGUCGGGGGUGAAAGCCCGGGGCUCAACCUCGGAAUUGCCUUCGAUACUGGCUGUCUUGAGUAUGAGAGAGGUGUGUGGAACUCCGAGUGUAGAGGUGAAAUUCGUAGAUAUUCGGAAGAACACCAGUGGCGAAGGCGACACACUGGCUCAUUACUGACGCUGAGGCGCGAAAGCGUGGGGAGCAAACAGGAUUAGAUACCCCGGUAGUCCCUGUCUCUUAUAC
RNAcentral lists this ribosomal RNA (303 nucleotides) under uncultured bacterium. Its description in RNAcentral is "partial 16S ribosomal RNA". It matches the Rfam family "Bacterial small subunit ribosomal RNA", at positions 507 to 807 of the family's 1533-position model. The record is from RNAcentral.